Molecule: long non-coding RNA, 1025 nt
Organism: Artibeus jamaicensis (Jamaican fruit-eating bat)
Lineage: Eukaryota; Metazoa; Chordata; Mammalia; Chiroptera; Phyllostomidae
Exons: 3
Source: RefSeq, a predicted model, not a curated record
UAUCUGUCAGUUCUGAGAAGUCUUGCCCCUACCAUUUUAUCUUAUUUUCUCUAAUUCUUGGCUACAGCUUCAGCUUCUAAGAUGAAAUGACAAGAGCCAGUUUACCCUCCUAUCUGAAAUAUCAAUGGAAACCAGAUACAAUAUAGGAAACAAUGGUUUUCAAAACAUUUGCACAUUGGGCAACAAAGGACAGUGAUUCCUUAAAAACAGAAAGCCUAAGUAAGCCCUACAAAUGCUUUAGCGAAUUACCUUAAAAGAGUUUUCAGGUACACACAUCUACGAGAAUUCAUUACCAGCAGACCUGCGCAAGAAAUGUGAGAGGAAACCCCUCAGGCAGAAGGAAAACGACACCUGCCCACGGAAAUACAGCUCUACACAAAGGAGUGAAGAGCACCAGGAACGGGCUGGAUGAGCAACAUCUGAGAUUUGGGAAGUGCUGAAGCUCCAUUCAGUCCACUGCGGUGCCCACAGCACAUCGGGAAGGAGGAGCAGGAACUCAGGAGGGGGGCAGACCUGGCUCCAGUCUCGGCUCGUACUAGCUCCGUGACCAAGGACAAGCCUCCCGAUUUCUCUGAGCCUUACGCCCUCAACUGUGGAUCCAGGUUAAUUAUGCCUCCUCCAUGAAGUCAUGGUGAGAAUGAAAUCAAGUAAUAUAUGUCACUGGAUCAACAUGAGCACUAUCCAAGGAACUGUACCCAAGGAGCCCCAUCUACAUCUGAAUUUGAUUUAGAUGAUGAAAUCUCAGACUCAGAAUCUGAUGCUAAAAUUGGUUGAAAAUUUGGGGUUCUGGUGAGGGGAGAAAUGUAUUUUGCACGUGGGAGAGAUGUGAAUCAUCGGCACCAGAGGGCAGAUUAUUGUAAGUCUUUAAACAAUGGACCUCAGUGGAUCCUGUCUUCUCAUGUUCAUACAUCUUUACAACUGAUAUUGCCUUUUCUUUCAUCAAGAGGUAGAAUUAAUUCUCUGCCCUCUUGAAUCUGGGGCUGAUGUAAUGACUUGCUUUUUUCAAUAGACUGUGAUGCAGAUGA